UGGCGAACGGGUGAGUAACACGUGGGUGAUCUGCCUUGCACUUCGGGAUAAGCUUGGGAAACUGGGUCUAAUACCGGAUAGGACAGCUGUUUAGUGUCAGUUGUGGAAAGUUUUUUCGGUGCAAGAUGAGCUUGCGGCCUAUCAGCUUGUUGGUGGGGUAAUGGCCUACCAAGGCGUCGACGGGUAGCCGGCCUGAGAGGGUGUACGGCCACAUUGGGACUGAGAUACGGCCCAGACUCCUACGGGAGGCAGCAGUGGGGAAUCUUCCGCAAUGGGCGCAAGCCUGACGGAGCAAUGCCGCGUGAGUGAAGAAGGCCUUCGGGUUGUAAAACUCUGUCCUCAUCCAAGAGAAGGAAAGGUAGUAACUGGCCUUUCCAGGACGGUAGAUGAGGAGGAAGCCCCGGCUAACUAUGUGCCAGCAGCCGCGGUAAAACAUAGGGGGCAAGCGUUGUCCGGAAUCACUGGGCGUAAAGGGCGCGCAGGCGGUCUGUUAAGUCAGAUGUGAAAGGUUAGGGCUCAACCCUGAACGUGCAUCUGAUACUGGCAGACUUGAGUAUGGAAGAGGUAAAGUGGAAUUCCUAGUGUAGCGGGUGAAAUGCGUAGAUAUUAGGAGGAACACCAGUGGCGAAGGCGACUUACUGGGCCAUAAGCGUGACGCGUGAGGCGCGAAAGCGUGGGGAGCAAACAGGAUUAGAUACCGCUGGUGAGUCCACGCCG
This 717-nucleotide ribosomal RNA is filed under the name uncultured Clostridia bacterium. RNAcentral describes it as "bacterial SSU rRNA". It matches the Rfam family "Bacterial small subunit ribosomal RNA", at positions 96 to 802 of the family's 1533-position model. Lineage: Bacteria; Bacillati; Bacillota; Clostridia. The record is from RNAcentral.